UGGCUCGAUGGUAGAGUGCUUGCCUUGCAAGCAUGAGGCCUUGGGUUCGAUUCCUUA
This 57-nucleotide transfer RNA is filed under the name Dipodomys ordii (Ord's kangaroo rat). It matches the Rfam family "tRNA", at positions 8 to 63 of the family's 71-position model. Rfam says of the family: Transfer RNA (tRNA) molecules are approximately 80 nucleotides in length. The record is from Rfam by way of RNAcentral. Lineage: Eukaryota; Metazoa; Chordata; Mammalia; Rodentia; Heteromyidae.